AUUUAUAUAUUUAUACCAUAUAUGAUAUAUGCUAAGAAAAUGUAAAGUCAAGAGUUGACUUUAAAACGUGAAAAAUAUGAGAUGUGAACAUACAAAAUUUAAGGAAAAAAUAAUCGGCAAAUUGCAGUAAAUAAUAAAUUGAAUAUACAUGAACGAUCUACCGUCCAAAAGUAUGAGUAAUUACCACUAAACUUCAUCAUGCACUGAUGAAUAUUUGUGUCUUAGUUAUCCAACAUCACUUUAUUUACUUUCUUCUAAAUAUUUGCAAGUAGUAUAUUUUGUAACUGUUUAUGAGUUAAUCUUGUACCAAAACAGCAAAAACGAGCAGGACAUAGCGUUUCUUCAUCAUCUGGGAAUAAGGUUUGUUUUAGUUCCUGGAACUCAAGAGCAAAUCGACCAGCUUCUGUCUGAGAGAGGUGAUGCUUGAGGCCAAACUAUGUCCAGGACCUUCUAUUUGCAAUAUCCGUAGGCAGGGUGAUCGUAGUCGUUUUCUCCACUCUUUUUAUACAAGUCACUGAAGACGGAUUAUUUCCCAUUCCAAGUAGAAAGAGAUUCAUCACCUGCUUCAGUCCUAAUUCUUGAGAAAUUCAGCCUCUUUAUGUAUUUCCAUUGCUGAGACUCUAACCUUGUGUAGCCUUGAGCUCUGUUUCUGCAAUCACAAGCUCUGGUUUCUCCUUCUUCGUCCUUUUUUGACAAGCUUUUCUCAUCUCCAUUGUUGUUGUUUAAAGAAAGAAAUAUCCAAAGGGAAAUAAGCUUAGUGCUAAUUAAGAAAAAAGGAAAUUUUGAAUCCAAAAAAAAAAAA
Arabidopsis lyrata subsp. lyrata is the source of this 802-nucleotide long non-coding RNA. RefSeq lists it as uncharacterized. NCBI's taxonomy places the organism in Eukaryota, Viridiplantae, Streptophyta, Magnoliopsida, Brassicales, Brassicaceae. The transcript has 2 exons. The record is from RefSeq and is a predicted model, not a curated record.